AUGCAAGUCGAGCGUCUCAACUUCGGUUGGGAAGCGGCAGACGGGUGAGUAACACGUUGGAAUCUGCCCCAAAGUGAGGGAUAAGCCUGGGAAACUGGGUCUAAUACCGCAUGUGCCCCGACCUAGUCGGGGUAAAGCUUUUGCGCUUUGGGAGGAGCCUGCGUAAUAUCAGCUUGUUGGUGAGGUAAUAGCUCACCAAGGCUAUGACGUUUAGCUGGUCUGAGAGGAUGAUCAGUCACAAGGGAACUGAGACACGGUCCCUACUCC
This 267-nucleotide ribosomal RNA is filed under the name uncultured bacterium. RNAcentral's name for it is "partial 16S ribosomal RNA". It matches the Rfam family "Bacterial small subunit ribosomal RNA", at positions 55 to 339 of the family's 1533-position model. The record is from RNAcentral.